This 380-nucleotide ribosomal RNA is filed under the name uncultured eukaryote. Its description in RNAcentral is "partial 18S ribosomal RNA". It matches the Rfam family "Eukaryotic small subunit ribosomal RNA", at positions 592 to 976 of the family's 1831-position model. The record is from RNAcentral.
CAAUAGCGUAUAUUAAAGUUGUUGCAGUUAGAACGCUCGUAGUCGGAUUUCGGGGCGUUCCGACCGGUCUGCCGAUGGGUAUGCACUGGCCGGAGUGUCCUUUUUGCCGGAGACCGUGCCUACUCUUAACUGAGCGGGGGCGGGAGACGGCACUUUUACUUUGAAAAAAUCAGAGUGUUUCAAGCAGGCAGCUCGCUCUUGCAUGGAUUAGCAUGGGAUAAUGAAAUAGGACUUUGGUGCUAUUUUGUUGGUUUCGAACACCGAAGUAAUGAUGAGAAGGGACAGUCAGGGGCACUCGUAUUCCGCAGAGAGAGGUGAAAUUCUCAGACCCGCGGAAGACGAACCACUGCGAAAGCAUUUGCCAGGGAUGUUUNCAUUGA